AUGCAACGUUCAUUUUAUAGAAGAAGAAACAAAGACAAGACAAAUAAUAAGGGUGCAAGAUCGUUCAACAUGCAAAAGUUUGUACGAUCUGUGGCAAUGAUCACAUAUUAAAGCCAUUCAGAAAAAAAACAUUAUCCCCUCCCAGAGACGAUAAAUGAAAAAAAAUUAUAAAUGUUAUUACAGAUCUGGUUACCCGAAUAUAUGAUCUCGCCCAAGGAUUUCUGAACUCAGUGUCAUCCAAUUUCCGAAUCUCAUAUUUCAUGUCAUCGUAAUUAGUGUAAUCAACAAGGCCAAAAGUC
Molecule: long non-coding RNA, 299 nt
Filed under: Medicago truncatula (barrel medic)
Lineage: Eukaryota; Viridiplantae; Streptophyta; Magnoliopsida; Fabales; Fabaceae
Description: lncRNA gene18223
Source: RNAcentral